CCAGUGAGAAAAGACUUUACCAAUAGUUAAAUAGUUGACAAUAUGGGCAUACCAUGGUUCAAUGGACACGGACAUGAGCUGCUCAUAAAAAAAAUUCAUUGAUGGGUGGUUCACUAAAUGAUGCGACUAUGAUUCAGAACAAGUGAUCAGCUACUGUAUUUUCUAUUCUUUUUUUGUCUCUGAUUUUUAGGUCAAAUUUUUGAAGGAGCAAGAUCCAUCGUAUCAAGCAUGCCUUGGCAUCUUUCUUUGCUAGAAGAUAUCUAAUGGUUGAGUGGUCAGUAUAGACAAUGGUGUGUGACCUAACCAAAUAGGAUCUAAAUUUUUCUAGGGCAAAGACAACGGUCAGGAACUCUUUUUCAGUGGUAUUGUAAUUAAGCUGCGCAUCAUUUAAGAUUUUGCUCGCAUAGUAAAUAACGCUAGACAGCUUAUUAAUUCUUUGACCUAAAACUGUGCCCAUAGUAUGAUCGGACACAUCACACAUGAGUUCAAAAGGUUUAGACCAGGCAAGAGGAUGAAUGAUGGGAGCUAAAAUGAGUGCCUUUUUAAGAAAUUCAAAUGACUCUAGGUAUUCAGGAGUGAACUCAAACUUAGUUUCUUUUAUUAACAAGUUUGUUAAUGGGCGAGCCAUUUUGCUGAAAUUGGCAAUGAAUCUUCUAUAGAAUCCAGCAUGUCCUAAAAAUGAACGGAUUUCUUUGACAGACUUGGAUGGUGGAAGACUUGCAAUCAGGUCUACUUUGGCUUUGUCCACUUUAAUUUUUUUUUCGAAACUACAUGGCCAAGAAUUAUCCUUUCUCUAACCAUAAAUUGGCAUUUUUUUCAGUUGAGAACUAAGUGCUUUUCCUUACAUCUUUCUAGGACUAAUCUCAGAUGAUCUAAGCAUUCAGAGAAGAUAGGACCAAAAAUAGAAAAGUCAUCCAUAAAAAUUUUCAGAAAUCGUUCAACCAUAUCAGAAAAAAUGCUGAUCAUGUAUUUUUGGAAGGUUGCCGAUGCAUUACAUAACCCAAAGGGCAUACGCCUAUAAGCGAAGGUUCUAAAUGGAUAAGUGAAUGUAGUCUUUUUCUGGUCCUCAGAGACUAUGGGGAUCUGAUUAUAGCUGGAGUAUCCAUCAAGAAAACAGUAGAACUCUUGUCCGACUAAUUUUUCUAACAUUUGGUCAAUAAACGACAACAGAAAGUGUUCUUUUUUUGUCGCAGCAUUCAGUUUUCUAUAGUCUAUACAGACCCUCCACCCUGUUUGGAUCCUAAUUGGGAUAAGUUCAUUUGCUUCAUUCUGGAUCAUCGUUAUCCCAAACUUUUUGGGUACCACUUGUAUAGGGCUUACCCAUGAGCUAUCAAAGAUGGGGUAGAUAAUUCUAUUAUCAAGUAACUUUAGGAUUUUCUUUUUGACUAUAUUCUUCAUGGCUGGGUUAAGUCUUCUCUGAGCAUCUUUAGUUGGUUUGGCCUCUUCCUUUAGGUGUAUCCUAUGUUGAACUAUGGAAGGAUUUAUUUCCUUAAUAUCAGCCAUGAUCCAGCCUAUUGCUUUACAAUUUUCUCUCAGGAUUGCUAACAACUCCUCUUGUUUAGGAUUUAGGUCAGAUGCGACAAUUACAGGCAAGAUUUUCGCUGAACCUAAAUAUGUAUACUUAAGGUGCUUAGGGAGGGGUUUCAAUUCUAAUUUGGGUGCCUCCUCUAUUGAUGGCUUGGGUGAUGGUUUAACCAUUUCUAUGAUUGGUUCAGUGGGAGGCUCGUCUUUGGCUAGUCCUAUUGUCUAUAAAAAUUUCAUUGAUGUCUUCAGGUUCAUUGAUUGGUCAGAAACUAGAUUCUAAAUCGACUUUCUCAUCGCUAAUGUCAACGGGUUCAUAAAUUUUCUCUUAAAUUAUAUUUACAUCAGUAUACUGGAUGGAUUCCUAUUCUAGAUUGAAUAUAUUCUGUUCAAUGGUCAUGUUCCCAAAAGAUAGCUUCAUAAGUCCAUUCUGACAGUUGAUUGCAAUAUUUGUAGUAGCUAAGAAUGGUCUUCCUAAAAUAACUGGAAUAUGACCUUUGGGAUUUGCAACUGGUUUGGUCUCUAAAAUGAUGAAGUCUAUAGGGAAGAUAAAAUUGCCAACCUUGAUUAAAACAUUCUUUACCAUUUUCUUAGAGAUCUUAAUAGAUCUAUCUGCUGAUUGUAAUGUGAUCCCUGUCGGCUAAAGUUUUCCCAACCCUAGUUGCAUAUAAACUGAAAAAGGAAGAAUAUUUAUACUAGCCCCUAAAUCUAGCAAGGUCUUCUCAAUGUGGGUCUCUCCAAUAUCACAUGAAAUUGUUGGAGAUCCUAGAUCAUUAUAUUUUAUUGGCACAUGACUAGACAAGUACGAGCUCACACUUGCUGCUAAAAAUACUCUCUUAGGUACAUUGAUGGUCUUUUUCUUGGUACAAUGAUCUUUUAAGAAUUUAGCAUAGGUCGAAACUUAUUUAAUCAUGUCUAGAAGAGGGAUAUUUAUCGGGACUUACUUAAACACUUCUAAUAUUUUAUCCAAAUGUUCCGAUUUUUUAUUGGACCUUAGUUUAUUUGAAAAAGAAGCUCUAAAAAUUAUGGGUUCUGAGCUUGGUGUACUAUCAGUUUCAAGAGCUUCAAUUUGUAAAGUAGAUUGUUCAUAAGGUGACUCAGCAGGUGAGUUCUCUCUAUCAUCAGAUAUACCUAUCUUAUUGUCUACUUAUUUUUCAGAUCUUAAGAUGUGAAUAGUAUUCACAUGGUUGAUUUGGUUUUUUUGUUGGGAUAGUGGACCAUUUUGGUUUCUCGGGUUGGACUUAGGUUGGCUAGGUAGCCUAUCUCGUUCUCGCUCACUCAUGGCAGAGGCUAGCUGACCUACUGCAUUUUCAAACAGGCAAUGGCCUAGGUGUUAGUAUUUAUGAGUUGGCUCGUGGUUUGCAUGCAAUUACUUAGUGUGGUAUUGGUGUCAGCAUUGGAUUUGGCCAAGACUUUUAGGCUUUUCUCUAGAGAACUAAGUUUCUUCUCAUUAUUAUUGAAGCCUGGUGGGUUGUUUAUCACAGGGUUAGGCUUUAGAUUUUGCUGGUUGAAGCUAGAACCGCCUACAUUUGGAUUCUAUGACCAUGAGAAGUUUGGAUGAUUCCUCUAUCUUGAGUUAUAUGUGGGUGCAAGGGGUUGUUCACUGAUCUCUGGUAUGUGGUAUUUAUCUGUGCACAUCCAUUUUCUAUUGGAUUCAUCAGGAAGGGGCAUUCCUCAAAGACAUGGUUUGGUGCACUACAUACAUUGCACAUAGAUGCAGAAACUUGAUUUACACUGACUGGUCUCUGUAGCUCUAAAGCCUCUAAUCUACAUGUUAAGGUUGCAAUUUUGGCCUCUACAGCUAGAGAAGUCUGAAUUUGGUGCAUUCCACCUCUUAAAGGCGUCGGUCUCUUAGGUUCUCUAGUUGUUUCUCAUUAUAAAUUCUUCUCAGUUAGGUCUUCUAGAAAUUGCUGAGCUUCAGUGGGGUCCUUGUAUAUGAAUUGACCGUGGCAUAUGGACUCUAGUAUGGUUCUAGAAUUUGAAUCUAGCCCUUUAUAAAUUAUCUGGCAUAGUCUCCAGGUCUCUAUUUCAUGGUGUGGGCAUUAGGUCAAGAGGUUCUUAAAGCGGUCGAAGUACUUCCAGAAUGAUUCAUCAGCUAGUUGGUAAAAUUAGUUUAUCUCAUUCUUAAUUCUAGCUAUUUUGUGAUGGGGAAGAACUUCUUUAGGAGCACUCUUACAAAGCCCUCUCAGGUUGUGACAGAUUGAUUUAAAAGACUAUAAAGCCACUUUUUAACAUUGUUCUUAAGGGCAAAAUUGAUCAAUCUUAGCUUAACCUCAUCCUCUGAUAGUUGUUGUAGUCUCAUGGUUGCACAAACUUCUUCAAAUUCUCUAAUGAAGAUGUAUGCAUCCUCUAUUCCUGUGAAUUUUGGAAGCAUAUUGAUAAUUUGAUGUUUAAUUUCUAAGUUAUUUGCGGUGGGUUGGGGCAAUCUGAUGCAAGAAGGUUGGACGGAACUGACUGGAUAACAUAAAUUCUUAAGGGUUUAGGGCUGAUUGGGUUCUCCCAUUGUAAAAGUUGUUGGGUUUGAAACAGAAAUCGAAUCAAUUCUUACUAGUCCACCCAAUACCCUUCUCUAUGAAGAAAGUGGAGAAAUCACUUUGUCUUCUAUUUUUUUAGAUUUUUAUUUUUUUAAUUUUUUUAUGUUGUUUUCAAUCAAGUUUUCAAUCAAAAGAAGAGAAGAGAAAAGAAGAAGAAUCUUAACUAAGGUUCUCCUAACUCUAGACAACUCAUUACUGCUCAGAUUGCCUUCGAGCACUCCAAAUUCGAAAUCGGCUAACCGAAUCAGUCAGGUAAGUGUAAGAUUGGUGGGAGGCUCUCCGUGCUUUUGCAAUGGACCUAAUUAGAUAACCAUUUUUCUUCGAAACGUAGUUUCUGAACUACUUUCCUAGACACACACAGGCUAACCAAUUUAAACCCGGUCCAACUCUUAGAUUUUCUUCUCCUAAUGAGUUUGGAUGUCCUUAGGGCUAGCGUCUAAUCAAUUUUAUUUAAAGGUUAGGUUAUGUAAAUGCAAGGAAGUGAUUUGUGGGCUAAAAAAAGGUGAUCAAAUCCCCACCUUAUGUUGUUAAUGGGUUUUGCUCUUAAAGUGUUUUAUAGAUAUGCAAUGCAACAAAGCAAUAAAAACAAACAAGUUUUAAUUAACAAAAAAUCAAUAGUAAAUAAAAUCUAGUAAGUAUGCAAAGGAAAAAAAGUUAGAAUACGUACCUGACUUCCAGCACUUACCAACUUAAUGUAAAGCAAGAUAAAGGAGACAGAUAAUGUAAGAUUAUAGCUAAACUAAAAGCAUGAAGAAGAAUUUAAAACAUAAUUUAAAGAUGCCAACUCCCUGGUAACGACGUCAAAAACUUGAUGUGUCUUAAAUUUAUCGCAAGCACACAGUAUGUAAUGUAGCACGUUCGACAAGUACGGAUCGAUCCCACAAGGAAUUGGAUUUUUAAAGUAUGUUCAAAUACUUGCUCAGGCGAGCUUUAAAGAAAGAGGAGAGAUUAUUUGUUGGAUUGCUAACUACCAAAGCAGUAAAUUAAUUAAUUAUAAAAAUAAAUAAUCUAAAAAAUCUAAGAUUUUUAAAUCCACUAGAUCAAUGAAUUACAGAACUUUCCUAUGGUUUCUCUUAUAAUGUCUCUUGAUUAAGGUGUAAAACAUAAAUAAGCAUGGAUCAUGAAGAGAUUUAACUCAAUUAUGAUCCAUCAAGCAUUUCGCUUUCACCCUAAUUAAGAGGCUUUUCUUUUCAACCACUUCUCUUGUGUUACCCAAGUAUGGGCUAUGAAGGGGCUCAAACCUAACUAUAACCCAUCAAAGUUUCUACAAGGAAAGAGAAGAAGGGAUUUAGAGAUUUGUGAGCCUUCUACCAAUCAUCUCCUCUUGCAUCAAAUCAAGCAUGGACUAUGAAGAAAUUUUGACCCAAUGAUAGCCCAUCAAGUCUCUUAGCAAGAGACUUGAAGGGAGGACUCUAAAAAUUAAAAGCUCGAAAAGAAAAAUUCAAAGAAGCUUCUAUUCAUGGUUUAGCUUCAUUGCAAACUUCAGAGGAAUUGCUUAGGCAGACAUAGUUUGAUUUGAAGUCUGAAAAAAAUAAAAUAAAAUAAAAUUUGAUGCUACUUGCUGGAAUUUAACUUGCGAAAAUUAAAAAUUACAGAAUUAAAAGAUGCAGAAAUUUAAACUACUUUAUUGCAGAAAUUAAAUAAAAAAGAAAAAAAUUAAUUUAUUGCUGAAUAAAAAUUUUAAUACAAAAAAAUUUCUUAAUUCUUAAGCCAUUAACGAGGCUUGGAGUUAGAACAUAAAAUAAAAAUAAAAUAAAACUCUCACAGAAUCUGGCUUCUCUUCCUCUCUUGGCUUGGAGCCAACCUCUCCCUGGCUAACUCUUCCUCUCAUGUGUUGGAAGAGUGGAAGAAAGUGGGAACAAGGUGGCUAAAAAGAUUUAAAAUUUGGGUAUGCCUACCUGUCACACGGGUCCCUACAAGAAUUAUGGUGUGGAGAGAGAGAUAUUCUUAGAGUAGAGGUAUUGGUCUUUAUUUAUAGAUGUUAGGAAGGAGAAAAUUUUUAGAUGUGGGAUUAAAGAAAAAUGAUUGAUAUUUAUUAUUAUUCUUUUUAAACUCUUUGUUCCAUCAUGGGGUGAGAACCGCGCUCACAUCACGUCUACGUCGUGUCCCUUCCGCGUCUUCCCUACAUUUUCUCAUUUACCGUGUCGCUCAGCCGCAUCCCGCAUACAGCCUUGGACCAGCUCGCACAUCCUAAUUGAUUUGAAUUCCAAGUGCUCCCACCAAUAACUCCCCAUGAAUCGUGCUCCUUGUUUUGAAUUAAAAAGCUUCUGGGUCCCGCCUGAAACCCGCCAUCUCCUAUAUUCGUGCUUUAUUCCCAUGCGGCCCAAGCCACCAAAAGCUCUCCUUGAGCUACAUGAAGAUUUUUAAGAUAUUACUGUAGCUUUUCACGUGGCUCACUAACCUUCUUAUGGACCAAGUGGUCCAUGAUGGACCACCAGCUUGCGGAUUGGAUCGGGUUGGCUUUCGAUUUUGAAUUUAAAUUCAUUUUAACUCUAUUUUUGGUCCCGUUUGAUCUCUUUAAGCUUACGGAUCAGGCUCUUCAUGUUGGUGCACCUCUCUGCAAAUACAUGAAGAAGCAUCAAUAUUAAAAGAAUAAAAAUAAUUUGAUCCAUAAAUUAAUGCUUCUAUGGACAAAUUUAUGCACUUAUCAUAACUCCUCCCUUGAAUUCUAUGCUACACCAUUUACAUCUCCAAUGAUGCUGACCUGUGAGUAUCUCCCCAUGCUCCCAACCAAUAUCACGUUCUGGAUCCUUUUUCUUCCUUGACGGAUCUAUUUCAAAAAAUUGAUAAGCACUUCAAUAAUUACGUAAAAAUGAUAUAUUUCGUUUACCUAAUUUUUUAUAUUUUUAAAUUAUUAUUUUAUUAUUUAUUAUUUUUAAAAUAAAAUAUAUUAAAAAUUUAAAAAAUUAUGAAAAAAUAAUUUGAUCUUAGAUCUAUGUAGAAUCUUACCAUAGAUACUACAUAUAAUUUUUUUAAACAGUGGACAUGCAUGACAUAUUUUUUUCUAAAUUUAGGCCUCGGCUACUAUGCGCAAGAUGAGUUGAAACAUUGAUAAAUAGGCAUCAAUUUUAUAUCAAAAAUAGCUUGCAAGUUCUUAAAUAAUAAUAUGAUUUUAUAGUUAUUUUUUAAAAUUUAUUUUUUUAAUAAUUUUUAUUUUAAAAAUAUAUUUUUAAUUUAAAAAAUUAUAUACUUAACGAAAAUUAAUAAUUUUAGUAUCAUUAUGUAGAUCAUCCAUAGAUCUAUAACAUAUAUUCAAAUCAUAUUAAAAAAAAAUUUUGACAUAGUUUUUUUCUAUUUUUUAUUUUUCAUGAAUUUUUCAAUAAAAAGAGAGAGAGAGGAAAGAGAGAUAGGAAGGAGAAACAUACUUUAAAGGAUUUUAAUCUACAUUUUUUUUGGAGUCUUUCUGCCGCUCUCAAUGUUAGGGAGUGAGAAAGGGAGAGAACGAUUGAGCAACAGGGCGGUUCGAUUUCUUCUCUGUCUCAGAAGAUUAAAAAAAGAAGCCGAACUGCCUGGUUCGGCUCGAUAAAUUUGCGUAUCAUCCGAUUCAAAUCGAAACCAUUCAAUUCGGGGCCGAACUGGAUGGUUCUUUUUUUUUAUUUUUCCUUGUUGGGUGUCCAAAAUCAGGGCUGAAUCGAUCCGGUUCAGCAUCGAUCCAGCUCGAUACGCCCUGAAUCGGAUGGUUCGGUCUGAUUUUCAAAACUAUGAGUGUGGGAUAUAGCACCUUGAGAUCCAUGUGUGGCUUGUGAUCACCCUCUGAUGCAUGAUGAUUCGAUAUGAGAGAAGGAAGAUUUUUUUUUUUCAAUCUGCUCAGCUCAAAUCUCAUAAAGAAAAAAAUAGAAGAAGAAAAUUUUCGAAAGUAAUGCUCAUGUCCCUUUUCUUGCUCUUUUAUUUUUUUUAUUGAUUAAAAAUAAGGUACAUAUCUUCUAUUUAUACUAAUGAGGUCUAUCCUUACACAAAUUGGCUUGGAUUCUUCUAGUUCUAAUAAUUUUUUUUUAUCUAAAAUAGAUGUCUGAUAAAAAUAAUCUAGAAAAAUCUAAAAUUUUUUAAAAGAUAGAUCUUGACUUUAACAUCAACUUUUUCUUCUGUUGCUCCACCAAAUUCUUCUCAGAUUGGAAGCUACGCUCAGUCAAAUUCUUAUUCGAAAGAAAUUUUUGAGUUGAUCGGUCCAUUUCAGAUCCCAAACAAAAAAUUUUGGCCUGGUCGUUAGGGGCGCUGCUCCUUUUGCAGCAUCAUGUUGUAGAUCUAAAAAAACUAACCAAUUUUUUUAAAAAAAUUAUUGAAAUUAGACAUCGAAUGAUUAAGUUAUGGCCUCCAGAAAUUUAGCUUGCGACAUGGCUUCCCAAUGUGGUAGAUCUUGCUCCUGAACCCUAUCUAGCUCAUCCGUAGUGGUCAAAGUAGUCCAUAUCGAGUUCGGAGAUCCUCCUGGAUCAGGGCUUUCCUUGUUUAAGGGAUUUAGCUCCUGCUAAAUCAGAACUGAGUAUGGGAAGAUGCCUUCUUCCCCACCUCACAGUUGCACCAAUUGACCUUGCUUAAACAUGGUUCUUGAUCUUGCCCUUCUUAACUGUCAAAUUUCGGUGAACCACUUGGUUUGCUCCCAUAUCUUAACUUUGUGGUAGGAAUGCUUCUUGCUAUCCUUCCUCACUGUCGACGAUGUCUAUGGCGACUCUUCUUCAAUCUUGAUCUCAAUCUUGAUCUCGUUUGAUCGAUUGGUGGAACCAUAGAACGAGAGCUUGGCUGAUCAUGAGCAGUAUUGACUUCUCAGACCAUCAUCACAAGCUUGUUGUAGGUAUUAAUAAGACAGUUUGCCUGGGCAACAGUCGCAAGGUCUACAUUUCCUUGUGUCUUGGAAGUGUUGAUCAUAAAUUUUUUCCGUUUUUAAUGAGAUGAUACUUCCUCUACCACCUAGAGAAGACUGUAUCUCAAUCCGAAAGAUACGAGCUUCUUAGGAUAAUCUGGCAAACAUUCAGAGAAACUACUUUAUAAGUUAUCUCAUCAAUAUAUCUCUCAGUGAUGGCAAAUUUGAAGAUGCACUGCUUAGUGAUCUUCAAUUCGACAUCCUUUUUAAUCCAACUGAGAGGAUCAGGACGUGGAUGAGAUUUGGUUAGCAAUCUCAGCUUCUGAAUUAGAUUUUCAGAGAUGAUGUUCUUCUAGCUUGUAAGAUCUACAAUAGACUCGAUAAUGCUCUGCAUCACCUAGAUCUUCAGGCAUAAGAGUUCCUCAUGUGCCUUUAGAUCUGCAUUAGUUGCUAUCUCGGAUUUUCUCAUCAUCAAGCUCAUUUUGGAGCAUGCUUGCUCAAGUUUGGGCAGCUUCUUAACCUCCACAGCAUUGAGGACCACCUUCUCUUCUUUUCUUUCUUGGAAUCAUCAUCCUUCAUCUUCCUCCUCUUGGGAUGCAACUCGGGGUGGAGCUUCUAACAUCAUUCCUUCGUAUAUCUGUGAAGGUUACAUUGAUCGCAAUAAUUUUCUCAAGUCAUGUUGACAUGCUUCGUAUCCUUCUUGUCUUCCUUAGGAUGAUUCUUCUUGUCAAUCGUCAUGGCCUUCAUACUAGCUUUGUUGAUGUCUUUAAUUUUGAAGAGCUUCAACUCCUUUUGGAUUCUUGCAUGGAGAGCUCCAACGUAUUUUAUGAAAACUAUAUGAUCGUCAAUGGAGAUUCCAAGGGAGAUCACUUGCUUGUGGAACUCGAUAGUGUAGUCCUGGACACAUUGAUCAUACUUUUGCUACAGGUACUUCCACUUGAUCUACCGAUCCUCCACGUGGCCGAUUGGAUAAAAUUGCCUUUUGAUUAGGCUCUUGAAUUUGCUCCAUGGAUAAAAUUGGAUCGGAUUCUUUUUUUAGUUCUAAUAACUCUUUUACCUAGUAGGAAUAAUUUAGAAGCUAAAAUUCUUCAGAAGGUGGAUCUUGAUGUACACAUCUACUUUGCCUUUGUUGUUCCAUCAGAUUUUUCUCAGAUUGGAAGCUAUGUUUGGUUAAAGUCUUAUUCGAAAAAAAAAUUUGUGGAUUGAUUGGCUUGUUUCGAGCCGCAGAGAAAGGAAUUUUGACCUGAUAGCUAGGGAUGUUGCUUCCUUUAUAGGGUAUUGUUACAUUGUAGAUCUAAAAAAACUAUCCAAUUUUUUUUAAAAAAAAGGAUCAUCAAAAUCGAAUGUUGAAUGAUCAAAUUAUGGUCUUCGAAAGUUUGGCUUGCAAUUUGGCUUUCCGAUGUGGCGGAUCUUGCUCCUGGACCCUAUCCAACCCUAUCUGUAGUGGUCAAAGUGGUCCACAUCAAGUUUGGGGAUCCUCCUGGAUCACACGAUCAAAUGACAUUAGCUGUAUCAUUUGCCAAAUGUGAAACAUAAAUUUUUUUGUGUAUCGCACUAGGCUUUGAAGGAGAGCUAAAAGUUUUAAUUGAACAGGGACAACCCAUAUCAUAAAUAAAAGACAUCAUUGGCUGGGUCUUGGAAUCAUUAAAUUAUAAAGCUCCCUAGCAAAGUAUGCUGAACCGGUACCGUCAGCCAUUUCGGCCGAUCGGCGGUACGGUUCGGUAUAGUUUCAUACCGUACCAAAUCGACGAUCCGAACCGGAAGAAAAAAAGAGAGAAAUAGAGAGAGAGAGAAAGAGGAAGAAAAAAAAAGAGGGAGGGGAAGGAACCGGUGGGGCCAUCGGACGGCCUCCGACUGGCCGCCGUGGCCGUCGGAGGGCGCAGUCCACGCGCGUAGCGCCGCAGGCGUGAAACAGGGGCAUCGCCCCUGUUUCGCAAUUUUUUUAAAAAAAUAUGGUUUUAAGUGAAGUCGGCAAAUGAUUUGUCGGCUUUACGAUUUUUANNNNNNNNNNNNNNNNNNNNAAGGGGCGGAGCCCCUUCGGGGCUCCGCUGGCUCGACCGCCCUCAGGCCGUCGGCGUUAGCUCGCCGGCCACCGGGAGCCUUGGGGGCUCUGCCCGCUCGACGGCCUGAGCCUCGGGGCUCCGCCCAUUCGACGGCCUGAGCCGGGGCUCCGCUCGCUCGACCGCCCUCAGGCCAUCGGCGUCGGCUCGCCGGCCACCGAGAGCCUCGCAAUGCAGGCACUGUCCGUCCGGUAGGUUCUCCGCCCCCCUCCGAGUGUUCUCUCUCUCUUUUUUGCUCUCUUGAAAGCCCUAUCAGUCGAUACGGAGCUCGGAAGCCCUCCGACGGCCGCAGCUGGCCACCGCCGGCCUCCGACGGCUCCCACCUUCCUCCCUCCCCUCCCCUCCCCCCUCUCUCUCUUUCUCACUUUUCAUUUUUUUUCUUCGGUACCAUCGGUGUAUCGAUUUUACCGGCCGAAUCGUGCCGGUUCCCCACCGGUCCGGUACGAGAUGGGGUGUACCGGCCGGUUCGGCACGGUAUGGCAAACCUUGCUCUCUAGCCUCGCCUUCUUUACUUUGUCAAUUUAACGUAGAGCAAUGUAAAAUUUUUCUCUUCCUUUAUUGUCUUUGUAAUACCCCACACAAAUCUUAAAGCAAAACAAAAAAAAACAAAAUGAAGAGGGAAAAAUAGGGAAAAGACUCCCGUUAGGAGUCUUCUUCCCUUCUUCCAUUAAAACUCCUAAUUAGAGUUGGAAUUGGAGGCCGGGAGGGAGUCAGACUUCUCCCCACUUUCUCAUCUAUUUAAUGGGAUAAAUUCUCUUGUGAAACCCCACCGUCGGCCACCAUUUUUUGUCGAAAGAAACCCAUCUUCCCCUCCAGGAUUCGUCGGAAAUCAGGGCCAAAUACCACCCAAAAAAGUGGUAAAAAAUUCUUGAAUCUAUUGAUUUAUCUUUCUCCACAUGUUCCUUAACCCCUAAGUUAUGGAUUUCGACUGGCGAACCAUUGGAUUUUUGUCAAAAAGAAGGCUCGAUUGAUCUCCUUUUUUUUUGUUUUUGCCCCCUUUUCUUUUGAUUUUUCCGACGCCGAUGGUCAUCAUCGACCGUUGGUUUGGGUUUUCUGGACUGCUAUGGAGCAGCCCUAGCCGUCGUUGGCUACAGCCGCAUCGGUCGUGGCCUUCGAUCCAAGGAACAAAGAGGGAACACAUGGUCCCCUGUUUUGCCAAAGAAAUCAUGGGAAGAAAAAGAAAAAAGAAGAAAAAAGAAAAAAAAAAGAAAAAGAAAGAAGAGAGAGAAAGGGUUUCUCUCUUCCCUCUUUCUCUUCUCUCUUCAAGGGCUCGCACUUUCUCUCUCUAAAAAUUUAUUUUCUCUCUCUACAUUCUCUCUCAAGAAUUUUUUUCUCUAAACCAUUUUUUUUGAUGGAUUUCUUUCUCUAGAAGUCAUCAAUCUAAGAUUAGCCAGUGAAAGAAUUUCUUUCUGAUCUGAUUCUAGCAAAGAGAGUCUUGAUUUGCGGUCACCAGACAGUAUACCGGCAUCCAUCUUGACCAGAUCGGAUAUCUCUAGAUUUGAUUAUCCUCGAUUGGAUAAAGAUAACAUAAUUGGAUCGACCCAAACCAUAGGAUACGACUAUCAUUUAUCAUGUCUUCUUUAAUUAUUUAGGUUCUUUCUGAUUAUUGGACUCAAAUAUAUUUAGGGAUGUAGUUGUGUCGACAAGAAAAUAUCCAGCAGAGGGAUACUAUGGUCUGAUUUAUGAAUUGAAGAUUUUGAAAAAAAAUUUAUGGACUUAUAUGGAUUUGUGGGAGGACGUGUAAAGUAAGUAAUGUAACUCUUUUUCUAGAUUUAUCAAUAAAUUAUAUAGUAUUUAUAUCAUUAAAUUUUGAAUCAUAUUAUUUGUGUUUUGUGAAUAUGAAGCAUAAUAUUUAUUGGUUAAAUUUAUUAUACAUAUUAUUGAUGCAUUAUCGGAAGCAUUGGUUUCAUUGAGUUAUGAUCGAUUGUCUUUGAUUUCGAAUGGUUUUGUAUAUUUGUUCGAUUGAAAUAUGAAAUCAAUUUUAUCGAAAAAAAGAUUUGAAUUGAGAUAGAUUUUGACUCGCAGUUUGACUAUGUAUCAAAAUCCUGUCAGUGAGAUUAUGCACUAGUAUAUCGACACCCUGUCCGUGGGGGUUGUGCAUUAGUAUAUCGAUACUCUAUCAGUGGAGGUUGUGUGCUGGUAUAUCGACAUCGUACCAAUGGAGGUUAUGCGCUAGUAUAUCGAUACCCUAUCAGUGGAGGUUGUGUGCUGGUAUAUCGACAUCCUAUCAGUGGAGGUUAUGCAUUGGUAAUGUGAUUAGUUCAUGGCUAUCGAGGUGAAUAGGAUAUUUUGAAAGGAACUGAUUUAUGAAUUUGAAACUGAAUUUUGGAAAGAUUGAAUUUGAAUGAUCUUAUUUUGAUGGUGUUGUAUGAUUAAAUGGAUGUACCUUGUAUGUUUGUUUUCAAUAUAUUAUUAUUUCUAGAUUUGUCUAACCAAAGAGUACAUUGCUUAUUGGACUGUCUAGCUCAUUACUCUAUAUUUUAUUCUUUUUAUAGAUUCAGGGACCAGCUUGACUCGGGGCUUGAUAUGAGAGAGCGAAUUAAAGACAGACUUUGAUAUUUAUUUUAGAUUAAGAUUUAUUAGAAUUUGAGCAAGGUUAUGAAAUUUUAUUUUAUAAGACAUUUGAAUUAGUUAUUUUAAAUAAAAUUGAACAUUAAUUAUUUGAAUAUUAUUCCGUUCUUGCUUUGUGAUAUCGUGAUGAGAUGUCUUGCAUGCUAAUGGAGAGAGUUCUUCAUGAGUGUGCGGUGGUUGCCAUGACCUUUGGUUUGCAAUCUCGGAUUGAGGGUGUGACAAUUAAUAUGGUCUCAGAGCAUAAGUGGGCAAACUAUGAUACAGAAUCAGACAUGAGUGUAGGUGGGUAGACAUUAGCGAUAUUGGGACGAUAACCUAUAUUGCUAGUGAAAAUUUAGAAGUCCUAAAUUUGACACAAGUACAUUAAUGGAUUUAAAUCAGAGUGCGCAGUGGAAAUGUGGUGGUUUGAAUUACUUAUCAAGAUGAGAAUUUGAUUUGAAAGAUAUUAUGAUAAAAAAUUUAAUUUUGAAAUUAGAGGAUAAUUAUGAUUUGAGGUAACUCAAGCCAAAAAAUUUUUAAGGACGAAAUUUUUUUAGGGAGAAGAAUGUAAUACCCUACACGGAUCGUAAAGCAAAACCAAAAAAAUAAAAUAAAGAGAGAAAAUAGGGAGAAGACUCCCGUUAGGAGUCUUCUUCCCUUCUUCCAUUAAAACUCCUGAUUGGAGUUGGAAUUGGAGGUCGGGAGGGAGUCAAACUCUUUCCCCUUCCCUCAUCUAUUUAAUGGGAUGAAGUCCUUGUGAAACCCCAUUGUCGGCCAUCGUUUUCUGUCAAAAGAAACCCAUCUUCUCCUCUUGGAUCCAUCAAAAAUUAGGACCAAAUACCACCCAAAAAAGAGGAAAAAAAUUCUUGAAUUUGUUGAUUUAUCUUUCUCCACAUGUUCCUUAACCCCUAAGUCAUGGACUCUGACCGACGAACUGUCGGAUUUUUGUCUAAAAGAAGGCUCAGUUGAUCCCCUAUUUUCUUUUGUUUUCGCUCUCCUUUCUUUUGAUUUUUCAGUGAGGUGGUCAUCAUCGACUGUCAGUUUGGGUUUUUGAGACUGCUAUGGAGUAGCCCUACUAGUUGUCGGCCACAGCAGCACCGACCGUGGCCGCCGAUCCAAGGAUCAAAGAGGGACUACACGGCCCCCUUGUUUUGCCAAAGAAAUCACGGGAAGAUAAAGAAAAAAGAAGAAAAAAAAAGAAAGAAAAAAAGAAAAGAAAGAAGAGAGAGAAAGGGUUUCUCUCUCUUCCCUCUCUCCCUUCUCUCUUCAAGGGCUUGCACUUUCUUUAUCUAGAAAUUUUACUUUCUUUCUCUACUUUUUCUCUUUAGAAUUUUUUCUCUCUAGACUGUUUCUCACUUUUGAUGAAUUUCUCUCUCUAGAAGUCAUCUCUCUAAGAUUAGCUAGUGAAAAUUUUUUUCUGAUUCGAUUCUAGCAAAGAGAGUCCUGAUUCGAUCACUAAGUAGCGUAUCGGCAUCCAUCUUGAUCAGACCGGAUAUCUCUAGAUUUGAUCAUCUUUGAUUGGAUAAAAUUAACAUAAUCGGAUCGACCCAAACCAUAGGAUAUGACUACCAUUCACUAUGUCUUAAUUAUUUGUCUUUUCUGAUUAUUGGACUCAAUGAUGUCUAGGAGUGUUGUUGUCUCGACAAAAAAAAUCCAGCAGAGGGAUACUAUGGUCUGAUCUAUGAACUGAAGAUUUUGAAAAGGAAUUUAUGGACUUAUAUGGAUUUGUGGAAGCAUGUGUAAGGUAAGUAAUGGGACUCUUUUUCUAGAUUUAUCGGCAAAUUAUAUAGUAUUUAUAUCAUUGAAUUUUGAAUCGUAUUAUUUGUGAUUUGUGAAUAUAAAGCAUGAUAUUUAUUGGUUAAAUCUAUUAUAGAUACUAUUGAUGAUUUAUUGAAAGCAUUGGUUUCAUUAUGGAGUUGUGAUUGAUUGUCUUUGAUUUUGGAUGAUUUUGUGUAUUUGUUCGAUUGAAAUAUGAAAUUGAUUUUAUUGAAAAGAAAAAUUUGAAUCAAGAUGGAUUUUGACUUCAGGGUUGUGUGCUGGUAUAUCGAUACUCUGUCAAUGAGGGUUGUGCAUUGGUAUAUCAAUACUCUACCAGUAGAGAUUAUAUACUGGUAUAUAGACAUCCUGCCAGUGGGGGUUGUGCGCUAGUAUAUCAACACCUUACCAGUAGAGAUUGUGUGCUGGUAUAUCGAUAUUCUAUCAGUGGGGGUUGUGCGCUGGUAUAUCGACAUCUUGCCAGUGGGGGCUAUGCACUGAUACUGUGAUUAGUUCAUGGCUGUCAAGGUGAAAAGGAUGUUCUGAAAAGAACCGAUUUAUGAAUUUGAAAAUAAAUUUUGAAAAAACUGAAUUUGAAUGAUCUUAUUUUGAUGGUGUUGUAUGAUUAAAUUGAUGCACCUUGCAUGUUUAUUUUUAGUAUAUUAUUAUUGUUAGAUUUAUCUAGCGAAAGAGUGCAUUGCUUACUGGGUUGUCUAGCUCAUUACUCUAUAUUUUACUGUUUUACAUAUUCAGGUACUAGCUUGACUCAGGGUUCGACAUGAGAGAGCAAAUUAGAAACAAACUUUAAUAUUUAUUUUAGAUUAGGAUUUAGUAGAAUUUGAUGCAAGGUUAUGAAAAUUUAUAUUUGAGUUAGUUAUUUUAAAUAAAGUUGAACAUUAAUUAUUUGAAUAUUAUUUUAUUAUUGCUUUGUGAUAUCGUGAUGAAAUGCCUUGCAUGCAGGUGAAAAGAGUUCUUUAUGAGUAUGCAGUGGUUGCCAUGACUCUCGACUUGCGAUCUUGGGUUGAGGGUGUGAGUCUUAUUCGCUCCCUUGCUCCCAUUCCUCUUUUUGUCUCUCAUGGUAUAUGCAUGAGAGACAUCAAAGGAAACUAAGUAUCUGUUGAUGUAAUGCACUUCUAAUCUAGGCCAUGUAUGCAAGAUCCAUGGUGUAUUCAAACUAUAAUCCUAUUGCAAAAUAUUUGAGUCAACCAUCUAGCAAAUGUCAAAUAACUAGAACUGGGAGAACUGAACUUUGUUUUUCUUCCCUCGCCUAUAUAAAAAUCUUUUAAGCUUUGUUGUCAACUUUGUGGUACAUUUUAUACCAACAAAUGAUGAGAAGCUUCUUUCUCGCUCUUUAUAGUUUGCAUGCAUUAUCUUGUAUCUCAUUAUCGGAGAGUAAACCAAAAAAUUAUUAUCAUGCAGGUGCCUUUUGGAUACACUAGAAAAGAUGUGCUACUUAUUGGUCUAGGAGUAACUGUACUAGGUGUUGGCUUGAAAUAUGGGUUGGAGGUAACGCUGCUUUCUUCACCUAUUUCCUCACUUCACCUCUUAUAUAUGCAGUAACAGCUAUAAAUAUAUAUAUAUAUAUGUAUAUGGUCUGGCACACAAACUGCUUGUGAUCACUCUCUUAGCACCUCUCAUUUUUGUUUUUUUGAGUCCUGUUGCAGUUUGGUGGAGUUGAUCAUUUGCAUGCAGGCAAUUGUUCAGUUAGUUCUGGUCUUGGGGCUGACGGUUGGAUGGAUUUCUACUUACCUAUAUAGAGUCUCAAAUAAAGAGAUGACUUAUGCACAGCAAUUAAGAGAUUACGAGAAUAAAGUCAUGCAGGUUAGUGUUUUUGCAAUGGAAAACCUUGUUUCAUUGAAGUGUGUUUGCAUAUACGAGUAUCAAAUGCCAGUAACCGUAUAGAAGUCAGCUUCUUUACUUAUGAUUUUCUUUCAUCUGAAGACUCCACUGUUAUAAAACACUAACAGCAACCUAUGAAAUGCUUGUAAAUAUUUUGGAGUCAAAAAUUUUGCUAAAGUUCUGGCACUAUUGCACCCGAUAUUUUGUGUAAUGUUACCUAUGGAGAGAAGGCCACUUAGUCCUGUUUAGGGUGCAUUUACUCUCUCGCACCCCACAACCCCUCCCCUCCCUCUCUCUUCCUCUUUCUCUUCAAUGGUAAAAUCUGCAUAAAGACCUUCAUUGGAAGUACUUACCUUGCCAGACUAAUGAAUUACCUUCUAGGGUGAAUGACAUGAGGUACUUAUCUGUUUAUCAUUUCUUCCUGAGAAGUCUGGAGAUUGCCAAAAUAAUAUUGCUUAACGUUCACAAAUAAUAACAUUUUAAGAACCUAAGAAAACAAAAGUUAUGGUCUCAGAGCUCCACUUGGCAGUUGAAAAGAUAUGAUUGCCACUAGGCCCUAUAACCUGCCGAUGGUCAAAAUAUGUAAUGAUAGCCCCCUGGUCGGUAUGUUCACUGACUUCUCAUCCACCAUUCUCCAUACUGCAGUAUAUCUUUUUGAGUGAAAUUCAAAUUAUUUUCCUUCUUUUAGUAUGUGCCUUACUCUCUUCAUCAUAAUAGAGAGAUACACAGAUUAGAAAAAGACCAGAAAAUUUGAUUAUAGCAAAUUUCAUUGUGAACAUUUGUCCUUGAUGUAUAUGCUCACUUCCUUUCUUUUAAAAGGGAUGUGAUGUUUUUCCCAGAAAAAAGGAUGCAUUGAGAUAUUGAUCAUGCAAACCGUCUAUUAUUGCAAAUGUUUACAGUAUUUGUUAUAAUUCAAGGAAGGGAGAACUUUAAAGCACAACAAGCUUUGAAAUGACAUCUGCUGAUUUUAUUAUAAAAAAAAUUGAGUUGGGUUCUCCUUUCUUUCAGAAGCGACUACAGGGUCUGACAGAAGCUGAACUGGAAGCAUUGCUCGAGCAAGUGGAGGAGGAGAAAAGAUGCAUGGCCAGCGGCGAGCACCUCUGAGUCAAAUUCUUGUGAUUGAAAGGUUAAUUACAUAGUUUACACUUUACACGGUAUAAGCAAAAGGUUUAUAGUGCACUCUGGAGACAACUAUAUUCUGUUACCUUUUAUUUUCCCAAUCAUGUGACAGUAAGAGGUUGUUUUCUGAGCCCAUUUUUCAUUGGGCUUCUCAUGUUUUGCAUAGCAUUACCAUGUUGUACUCUCAAAAGUGAAGGUUACUUUCUGAUCACAACCAAAGCAAAAAAAGGGUACCAAAUUGCAAAGUUAUGUGCUGUUUCCUUGCUCACCUUUUUUCUUGUUUAAUAUCUAUAGAUGGGUGGAAUUAUAAUAUUAUAUCAUGGACAAAGAAAGGUUAUUCUGCUGUAUGCAUUGACCUUGUAGAAUAAGGGAUGUACCUUGAAACUGCCAGCAACGUUGAGGUCAUUGACACUUCUUUCGACUCAUAGUUUGAAGGAUGGAAUAAAAAGCAGCCAUCUGGAAGACUAAAAAUAGAAGAACCUUUAAAAAUACAGCUAUCGAACAUUCAAGAGAAGAUUUGGAGUUGGGUCAAAUUGAUGUAGCCCACAUUAACAUUGCAUGAUUUACAAAAGCUGCCCAGUUCAUACAUUGCAAGAUUGAAGAUUUAAAUUUUGUUAUUCUGUUCUUAGAUCAACUGAUGGUAUUAAGACAAGUGUCUUUAUCAUCAUGUUUUGUUGUUUUAUAUUUUAAUUAAUUUAAUAUUUUGAUAUAAUAAUUAAAAUUAAAGAAAAUCUAUUGUGUCAGGAAAUCAAAAUCAAAUAAUUCAGGUUAAGAAUGUGUUACUUCUGAUGGUUCAACUAUGUUCAAAGCAUUUUCAUAACUGUAUGUUAAACAUAAAAUGCCAUAAUACUUUACGGGCCAAGCUUCAGCAAAAACAAGAAUGGCAUAUGCAUAAUAUAAGAAAAUUGUUAAGGGCAAUCAGCAACUCAAGCAAGCAUACACGCAUGGCAAAUUCUAUCCAGCAAGCAUAGCUGGGGACGGCCAAGGGAGGGAAUGGGGAAGGGGAAUGGAAACCUCGUCCAUCGACACAGGCCGGCUUCAGACCCUUUUGGAGGUAGCUUCUUUUUUUUUUUAAUGAUUAUUUGUUUAUAUUUUUAAUUUUAAAAUUUUUAGCACUUGUUGAUUUAUGAGCAGUUAUUUUCUCAGCAUUUCUAAUCUUCUGAGCACUGAUUUCUGCCAAAUUUGCGCACUUGAUGUCUAGAUGGUUCUUACUGAUGUUGUUAAUUCUACUCUUUUUUUUUUCUUUUGUGUAAUGUUGUGAUUCUCAAUCUUAGAAAUAGUAAUGCAGUGCCUGCUUUUUGUUCUGGAUUUUGUUCAGGCUUUUAAGAUGACCUGUGGAAGGUCUUGAUUUGGUCAAUUGACAUGUUUCAGAAGGCUGAGAAACAACAAUUUGUGGAUGUCGUCAUGAUCUCUAUUUUGGGCCUUCUCAGCUAUUUUAUCAGUUGACUUUAGGCUUUAAUAUGUUAACUUGUUUCAGAUGUAUGAUUCUACUCAAAUUGCUUUUGGCGCAAAUGCAAAACCGAGCAAUAAAUUUUAUUGUGCGCUGAUUUUUCAACUGUUUUCAUGCAUGCGAAUGGGCGGUAGCAUACCAGAGGAAUCCAGAAGCACAAUGGGACUAUUUAGCAAGUACUAGAUGAUGAUUUCUCUAUACUUGAAGAGUUCCAAGUUGGAGUUCCCAAGGUUCAAGUGUAGCAAGAGGCCAUAGAUGGUAUAGACCUUAAUUAGCUUCCACAUAUGGAAGACAUCUGAAAUCUUCUUUUGUCUUCUGCCAUAAAACACGUCAAAAGAUUGAGAGGUGAAAUGCAAUGCACAUAUGCACAUAUUUCUUUUUCAUUCAAGUCAGAAGUGUAUGUUCAAACAGAACGCACCAUUAGUCCAGGGUGUUAUAUGGCUAGUACAGGGUUGCAAAUGAAUACUUCAACUUGUCUUUGGGACAGCUGCAUUAGAAAUGGAGUAUAUAGAUAAAACAUAAAAUAAAUAUGGUUUCUAUUUCUGUCAGUCGGCUUUAAGAAUCCUUGUUCUUUAAUAAUUCAUGUAAAGGGUUUUGUCUGUUAUAAUUUCAUGCUUAUGCAAGAGAUCCAUGGCAGAACUUGUCGAAGUAUUAUAACUUUUUGUCUGUAAUUUGAACCUUCAUUUGCCCUUCCUUUUGUUAGGUGGAACCCCAUAUUUGUUACUGGAAUCUAGUCUUCAUUGCACUGGUUCAUACUAUUCUAGUAAUUUUGUCCUCUAAUGAUGCAACUUUAAAGCAUUAUGUAUGUAGUAGUUAAUUUCUGUCACAUUCUUUUCUACCUAGGCAUCUCUUUAGAAAUAAUCAUCCUACAUGUCUAGGACUUUUCUAACCCGACAUUCCAAUUCAUACAGAAUUACUAGCUUCAUCAUUGUCUUACAAAUAGUCUCUUGCCUGUCACCAGCAUGUGGCAAUGACAUAACUUUUUGAGCACAUCACUACUCUAGACACUUUGCUUUGAUUGCAUGGGGUAUAAAAAAGACCCACAGUAUACUAAGAAUAGUCUAGUUUGAUGAAUCAUCCUCCAACAUAAUAUAUCAUUAUAUUGUCAGUCCAAUUUGGUGUGCACCUCUUUUUUCCUCUGUCAUCAUACUCUAAGCCAACUACCAUUAACAUUUACCAUUAGUCGUCAUGAUUGUCCGUGAAACUAUAAGAUAAAAUAACCCUGUAAGGCAUUCAUUAGUCUUGCAAAUUUGUGGUCCUGAAGCUGUUGUGGCUGCCUCACUGAAACUGUUAUGGCUCCAAUGCAUGUUUUUACUACCUUGAUAUUGAUGCGCUUUCUUCAAUAAAGACAAUGAGAUAUUGCCUUUUUGUUCUCUUUCAUAUGUUCUGUUUAUGUAGAUAAGGCUUCGUUCAUAUCUACCAAUUAAUUUCUUCAGUAGGAAAAUCUUGAUAAUUAACCUGCCGCGUAUAAUACCAAAUUAGUUUUCAAUUACUUUUUCUCUCCUUAGGGACAAAAAUGGACUAGAUAACAUCUGUUUGGAUCCAUUUUUGUAUCCGAAUCUAUCUGGAUAUAGAUACAGCUACCCAAUGCAUAUCUGAAUAUCUAGUUUAUCUAGCAAUCCUGUUGAGUCUUGUAUAGCUCUCAUGAACUUUAAAAGAAAACAAAUGGCAAUAUUAACAUGUCUUUGACUUAAUUUACCUUCCACAUAGUGUUACCUUUGGUUUCGUGGUUCAUAAAGUUUAAUUAUCUGAUAUAUAUCCAUCUAUCAAUUUCCAAUUUGUAUCUGUAUCUGUUUGAAACACGUACAGCUAUGAAUGUUGGCAUCCUGUUAAUAUCUUUAUCUGACACGGAUACUGAUAUAUUUAUAUCCAAUCCAUUUUAAGCACUACCUCUUCUACAGCUUUAUAGUGUGAUUCAUAAGUGCAGUAGCAUGAUAAUUGGUUCAACUUGUUUGUUACCUUUGGACUGAUAACUUGCUAAAAUGAUGCCCUCUACUCUAGUUUUCUAAUAAUUUCUUUUUUGCUUUUUGAAGUUCUGAACCCUUUGUUGUUUAGCAAUAGUCACCAAAUAUGAGUGUCACAUUCAAAUAUAUUUAAAGCAAGGUACGCCAUCUCGAUAUUGGCCUCCGUAUCGGUGCCACCUUGUCACUAUGUUAGUACAUCCAGUAUAGAAGCUAGUUUGGUAUAUCAAGUGUUAGUACACCCCCCAUGCCUUGUGCUGGUGGGUACUGUACGGUGUGCCCUAUCCGGUUCGGUACGGUAUGGCAUACCUUGGUUUAGACUUUAGAGGGUUGACCAUUGCACCCAAUAAUGAAAAUAAAGGAAUCUAUAGCUAACAAAGAUAAAGUUAGUGUCUCCACAACCUUUCAUUAUUUAACUCUUUCAUAGAAUAGCACAUAACCCUUAUGCAAUUUCUUGUACUUGGGUUCUUCAGAUAUUAGUGGUUGUGCUUGUGGCUUAGGAGCAUGCAAUGAUGCUUAUGCUAUUGAUGAUAACCAUAUAUCCAAAAAGUUGGUUUCUUUUAAAUAUAUUGUGAGGUGUUAAAUUUGGAAGGUUAAAUAUGGUGAAUGUGUAGAGUUAUUUCCUUUAUUUAGGAGGGAAAUAUAUGUUUUAUGUUGGUCAGCAAAUCACGGUAGUUCAUUUCUUAUGAAGAUCAAGGUAUUGUUAUAUUUGGUAUUUGAUCUUUCUAGUUUAGAUAGAUCCUUAAAUCUCUCUCUCUCUCUCUCUCUCUCUCUCUCUCUNNNNNNNNNNNNNNNNNNNNUUUGGUUAGUUUGUAUCUUUCUUAGUUUAGAUAGAUCCUUAAUCUCUCUCUCUCUCUCUCUCUCUCUCUCUCUAUCCAUCUAUCUCUAUCUGUGUGUGCGUGCAUGCGUGUAUGCACGAACAUGUGUUUGCAUGUUGUGUUUGUAUGGAAAAUGCAGGGAUGUAAGUUAUGACAUGUAAAAAUAACUGAUUAAUAGAGAUUUUUUUUUGUUCAGAUUCCUGAAAUCCCAAUGUUCCUCCUCAAAUUCAGGUCUUCUACAAAUGAAAACAAAAAAACAAAAUCUUUUUUUCCAUUUAUUUCUCUUCCUAUUAACAGGUCAUGAUUUCAUGAAUCAAUCUAGUGAUUAUAAUAGCAAUUAAUAUAACUGGGUUAUAUCAUUGUUAAAUUUCAUAGAUUGUGAAUGCUUUUCUAUCUCCUCACACCAUCAUCUAACAUUAGGAUUUUUUUUCAUUUGGUACUCUUCCAUCAUCUUCUGCUGUCUCUUUCUCAAAGAAACUAAUAUGGCAUUAUAUUCCCUGAUAAUUGAUCUAAAUAUUACAAAGUUUGUGUCCAACAAAUAUAACUUAUGAAAACAGAUGAAGAUGACUAACCUUAUUAAUGAACUUGUGAUGUUGCAAGCUUUAAUCUAUGGCACUGAGCUUUUUAAUCUCUGCUUUUGGAGAGAAAAGUGGACCAUUCACCAAUUGUAAAGCUAAUUUAUUCACGUUGAUCAUUUAAAAACCUUUCCAUUUUGAUCAUUUGAAAAUCCUUUCCAUGGCAACUUUGUGACUUAACAAUUAUUAAAAAUAUUCUCCAUAUUUUUAAAUACCUAUUUAGAGCUGAGAACAUCCAAUCACAACUUGAGCUAUCAACUAGUAAGCUAUGCAAGUAGCACCACUUUUCAGUAGAAUCGUGCCUAUAUUACUUGUUUUAUGGGAUAUGCUGACCACUUAUGUAUAUGAUCUCUUCAAACGGAUUAAUGUAUCAGGUGGUUUGUAUCUUGACUCAGAUUCAUAUGUGUUCUUAAUAUAUAGGUUUUUGAUAUAAUCAUCCAUGGCGAGGUGAACUAUGUGUGAAUUUUCCCCCUCAAUGAUCACAUUACACAAAUGAUCUCCAAUGUGACUGGAAUUUAGGAUGUGCUCAGCAGCAGAAACAAAGAUUCUAUGAACUUUUCUUUGGGAUUAGCAAAUGAGUACUGUUGCUAGUGAAAACUGUGAGGAUUCACAUGCUAAGGGUUCUAUUUACUUGUUAUAAGAUUUGAUACAUGCAUAAAUUUAUGUUUAUUUCUUUUUUGAUUUAGUAUAGUGUUUGUCCCCCAAACAUUGUUAAUUUAUUUUUAUAAUCUUUUUUAUGGGUUUACUCAUCCAAGUAGCCUUGUUUAGCAUAAGAUCUUCUUUGGUUGCUGGUAACUGAAGAUGUUGAAUAUUUUGCAGUUGCAUGGAGAUCAAAUGGAAGCAACAAUAUUUACCCUCUAGUAUAACUUACAAUAAGUGCUUCUGGCUCACCUUAACUGCUGCAACCAGUCAUUUUGACUAUAUGUAGGUUUGCAGUCUUUAGGCUUCUUAUUUGAGUUAUUGUACUUUGCGUUUAGCAAAUUACACACCUAAAAAAUGGCAGUUGCACUGACCUGGUUUUAUAUGCAUUCUUAUCACAUGCAAUCAGAUAUAUGAAUUUUUUUUAUCUUAAUGGAAAAAUUCUUUGGGGGUAGCCAUAAGUGUAAGCUGUUGGGUACUUGGCCUUUUUCAUGUAUGCUGUCAAUCAUUAAGCUGUCUACUCUUACAGUCCUCUUUUUUGUUUAUAACGACCAACAAGUUUGAUAAACUCCAGUUUACAUCAGCUUUGAUGUUAUGUUCUCUUUCCCAAUUUGUUUUUCUUUCUUCGUAGAUUGUGAAGAUUUCAUGCAUUUGUUGUUAGUAGCUCAGAAUUGGUGAGAGGUCCAAGUUGAACUAUUGAUAUAAUGGUAUCAGGUUUGAAACAAUUCAAGGAUGUUUUUGUGGUGUAAGAUAUUGUAAGGUAUCAAGCAUGACAUUGGUAUAUGAUGUCAGAAGGCCAUUAAUACAGUUUGUUUUGGUAAUGAAAUGUUGUGCCUUGUUAGGAAGAUUUGACUAUUAUAAUUUUCAGGUAAAAUUAUUGCUAUGAUAUUUUUAUAGCCUUACUAAUAUUCUAAAUAUUCAUAAUUUGUGUAUAAUUUCAAUUCUCAUAGAAGGCAGCACCAUUUCUAAACAUUUAACUAAAUUGUAGACUUGCUGUUGAAACAUGCUAAGAAUAUGUUCUUUCAAUUGGUUUGAUGAUCGCUCGGCAUAACCCUUAGAAUAGGUUACAAAAGGUACGAUAUAGACCUUUCAUGCAUAGCAUGUAAUAUUCGGCCUUGCUAGGAUAGGUUACAGAAAGUAGGAUAUAGACCUUUCAUGCAUAGCAGGUAACAUUCUGCCUUGUUUUUUUUGUGAUAGUUCGACCCUAAGUCCUGGAGAGAAUUUACCGGAUGGAGGCUGACUCAUGCAUAUAUGCUGAACAUGUUGGAGUCAAGUUCAUGUCAAGGUUGUGAUAUUGCAAGCCUGAGGCAGCCAGAAUCCUUCUAAGGUUAUGACAUUGCAAGCCUGAGGCAGCCAGAAUCCUUUUAAUCCCUUGAUGCACCAAGUAAAUUUUUAACCUUUAACAAAGUUCAGUGCUGAAAAAUAUUGAGAAGUACAUUAGUGUGGAAGUCUAAAUCAAAGUUGUUUAGAAGAAUAUUCAACAAUAGUUCGACCAAAACAUCAUUAUACACCAUCUUCUUCCAUAAUAUUGUUCUUUUAUUCUUGCUUUUUGAUUAUUAUUAUUUUUUUGGAAUAUGGGUAUCUGAAUAAUAAUAUCUCGGAAGUGCCACUAUUUGAAUUUGAGAAGAUAUAGAAUUUCCUGACCUAUACAAGUGCGUUACACCAAGUAUAUCAUGUUGGCAACCUUGCACUAGUUUUGAAUUGUCUAACUUGGCUUUUAUUAUGUAUGCUUUUAACCAAAUUCUACAUACUCAGGAGGAGAAAUAGAAGGCCAUGGCGAAUGAAAUGGUUGCAAAGAUCACUGAUGUUUGCUAGGAUAAGUGCAUUAAUGAAAGUAUUGGAAGCAGCUUUAGUUAUAGCGAAACUACAUGCCUCAGUGACUGCAAAGCUAUAUGUGGAGUCAAGCAUGUUAACAAUUCAACGCUUUAAAAGCAUCCAGUGGUUUAUUUUCAGGCUUGGAUGUGCUUGGGGGCAGCUCUUUCUUUUUUUUUUGGUAAAGUGGAAUAGAUGAACAAUUAUUGAACAGGUACAACACAAAUAGGAAAAACCAGCAGCAUCUAGAGUUAACAAACGAUGAAGAUCCGGAAGAAACUGUGCUUGGGGGAGCUUCCACCAGCCAUAAACUUCUCUCAGGAGAAUGUAAUGCUUCGUACAUAUCAGAGACGGGCAAAUUGCUGUUCCUUGUGCAUCAAGGUUGUGCUGUUUGAGUGUCCAGCUUAAAAUUUUGGGAGGAAGUGCCAUGAGUGAUUCAUGAAAAUUUAAUUAAUAUAUAUUUUGUGGCAUGCUAUGUGAUUGUUAAUCAUGGUCAAAGGGAGUAAUUACCUCUGCUCAUAAUCGAAAGAGCAUUAUUUUUGAGAUUCCUUUUUAAGGGAAAGAAACCCAACUUUCCGUUGUUAUUUGCUCAUAAUCUGUUGUCUGGAUUCACACUACCUUCAUUAUCAGUCAGUUCUCUACCAUUUAGACUCUUUUUUUGCAUGAGUUACUUAUCUUUAUUCUUACUUUAAGCACUUGCUGAAGAGUUUACUGAUGGUUCAUGUAAAUUGUUUCAGGCUUUGCAUUUUCCCUUUUAAACUUUCCAGCCUCAUAUAGAUACGGCAAAACAAUCAAAUUCUUUGUCAAUGGUUGCAAGAGAGAUCUAGUGGCACAAACUUGGUGUCAUAUGGGGCCUGUCAUUGAUCCCAUUUUGUUGGAAGGUUGGAUCUAAUUAGACAUGUAUCUAAAUAAGGAUCUUAGGAUAUUAUUCCUUGACAUAUUCUUAUUAUUCUCUUUCUAUAUUUGGGUCUACAUUUAUGUAUUUAUAAAUUCUUGUAUACUCUCUUGAGUAUUGAAAAAAAUAAAUCCUUCUCUCCACAUUCAUGAUGGUAUCAUAGCUAACAGAGAGUAAGUUUGUAGAAAAAAAUGGGACGCAAUAUUGAUGACAAUCUCAAACUAGGGGUACAGUCAAUAGAUUUUUUUCUGAAAUAGAGGUAAAGGAUCCAUCAGCGAUAUGGAUCUUGUCCUGACUUGAAGAUGAUGAAUAUGAAAUGAAACUAUCAGAUGCACCUGUCAUGUGAUUGGAUACUUUUGAGUCUAUUAUCCAGGAGUUGGAUAUCCCAUCUACACAAUUAAAUAUAUGUGCUAAAUUAUAUGGAGUAUCUGAUUGGGCAAAAGGAGAGGAAUCAAGAUACCCAUCUUGGUGGCCAGGUUGCUCCAAAGCAGAGGAUGUGGUGCUAGAGGAUGACUCAUACUUUUUUAUUAUUCGUCAAAGGGUUUAAUACUCAUCUGUAGAUAAGUUGUGCGGCGCCCUUAGUCUCCUUAGAGAGAUUGGUUUGGAUAGAUUGAUGAUCAUGACUCCGACCUCCCGUUCUUUCACGACCACCAUUAUCACCAUGGCCUCGACUACCAUGCUUAGAUUGAUUUGGGCGACCACGAAGAUUCCAGCAAAAUAUCUUGGUGUGCCUAGGCUUUUUGCAAUGAAAGCACAGUUUUUCACCCAACUGCUGUGAUUACACGAUUAGAGCAGAUCUUAUAGGACUGCUGGAUUCAGAGAUCACUCAUUGUCGUGUCUCCUUGCUCAAAUAGUAGAGAAGACUUGACCCAGAAUAGGCGAUGUAUCUUUGGCUAGAACCUGAAUUCUGACAGACUCAAACUCCGAAUUCAGGCUGUACAGGAAGUUCUGAACCUAUUCUUCCUCUAAAUACUUCUGGAACUCAUCAACAUCAACAGAGCAUUGUAGAACAAAAGUUCUAUAAUGAUCUACUUCAGAUUAGAGACGCUUUAACUCGGUGGCAUGCUCCGUAACAGAUAAAUCCUCCUGACUGAGCUGACGCAAUUGAGAACAUAUCUCAAAUGCUUAGGCAGAAUUCUAUUUCUGUGAGAAUAUCUGGGCUACUAUCUCUCAGACCUCAUGUGCAGUUUCUAGUAGCUGCACACUUCUGGUUAUACUUUGUGUCAUGGUAUUGAGAAGAAAUGCCAGAACAAGGGAGUUCUCCAUUCUUCGUUGAGCCACAUCCUGCUCACCAUUAGCAGACUUUCUCUUCAUGCCAGUGAGAUAUCCUUCCAAGCUUCGUUCUUGAACAAGCAGACAAGUGCUCCUUGCCAUUGCAUAUACGUUGCUGGGCCAUCAAGUUUUACAGCCACCUGAAAAGCAUUCAAUGACCCACUGUCUCUUAAUGAACCAUCAGAUUGAGUGGCCAUUGUAAUAAGCUGACCCAGUAGACCUUCGAGGUCUUGCACAGUAAUUGGAUUGGACAUCUUCCAAAAAAAAAUUAUAUACAAUCUCAUCGACAUAUUAUUGAUCAAUCACCACAAAUUUCUCAACUACAGACUUUCAAGCAUCCAGCCAUAAAAUUGGACUUCUUUUUCUUUUUCUUUUUUUUUGAGAAAAGAAAAUCAAUUAUAAAAGAAAAAAGGAGCUGACCUUUUGCUGUCUUGAUCCCGUGGUUCACGGAGGAAUUCCAUUGGCAAGGAAGGAAGUGGGGGGCACUGAGUUCGAAGGUGCAGGGGGCGGGGGGGUGGCGUUGCUGGUGAUCAGGGUGGAUGAGGGAGGGGGCCGGGGUGGGAGGCGGGUAGUGGGGGGAGCUAUUGCUAGUGAUUGGGGUGAUGAGAAAGGAGGGGCGGUGGCAGCAUCGGGGGUGAUGGUGGGUGGCGGGGAGGGGAGAUGAGGGCAGAGGAGGGGAGAGUGGCAGCAGAGAUGAGAGAGGGAAGGGUGAUGGUGGGUGGCGGGGAGGGGAGAUGAGGGUAGAGGAGGGGAGAGUGGCAACAGAGAUGAGAGAGGGAAGGGCAGAUUAGGGAAGGGCAGAGAGAUUAGGGAUUGGGUUUAGAGAUUGAGAGAUUUAGUGUUUUCGUGUUGAUGGGUUAGAGAGGAGGGAUUGAGCAUGGGAUCGGAUAAUAGGGAGGCAGUGAAAAAAAAUUCAUGGAUCAGAACCUGAGAGCUUUGAUACCAUGAUGAAUACAUUUCUUCAUGGGGCCAAGAUGAAUUUUGUUCAAAUGUUGAUAUCAUGUGAAGCUAACUUUGGCUGGGAGUUACAUCUGUUGGAUGUGAAGAAUGUAUUUUUUUAUGGGGACCUUCAGGAAGAGGUAUAUAUGCAGAUAUCAUCAGGAUUUGAGACUCGAGCAACUACUGAAAAAAUUUGCAAGCUAAAGCCUGUAUGGCCUUAAACAGUCCCCUCGCACCUGGUUUGAUCGAUUCAGUCAGGUUGUGAGAGAAAUGGAAUAUAGACAGAGUAAUGCAGAUGAUAUUCUGUUCUAUAGGUAUUUCAAGAGAAAGAAAACUAUACUCUUGGUUUAUGUUGAUGAUAUUGUAAUCACAGGAGACAACCAUUAUGAGAUUAAGCAACUCAAGAGAAAGCUGAAGCAAGUAUUUGAGGUAAAAGACUUAGAUUUACUAAGAUACUUUCUGGACAUAGAGGUUGCGCGAUCAUCCAAAAAUUUUUUUCUGUCACAACAGAAGUAUGUACUGGAUUUGCUUUCUGAGAUUGGGAUGUUGGGGUGUAAGCCUGUUGUUACCCCGAUAAACGAGAAUCAUUAGCUAGUGAUAGAUGGUGGAGCUCUAGUUGAUCGAGGGAGGUACCGGCGACUAGUUGGCAGGUUGAUAUAGCUCUCACAUACGAGAUCCGACAUAACCUAUACUGUUAGUGUUAUCAGUCAAUACAUAUAUGAUCCACGAGAGUCUCAUAUGGAGGGAGCUUUCAGAGUAGUGUGCUAUCUGAAAGGAUAUCCUAGUCGUGGUUUGCUGUUCUCCCGACACAACAUCUUCUAGGUAGAGGAAUUCACUGAUGCAGAUUGGGUUGGUGUCAUUGAAUGAUAGGCGAUCUACCUCUAGGUCUGCACAUAUGUAGGGGAUAAUUUAGUUAUCUGGAGAAGCAAGAAACAGUCAGUGGUAGCUCGAUCAUCGACAGAAGCUGAGUAUAGAAUAAUGGCCCUAGGUAUAUGUGAGCUUCUUUGGCUAUAGAAACUGCUUUAGGAGUUAUGACUCCUAAACAAAUUUUCUCUUCGGCUGUACUAUGAUAGUAACGCGGCAAUUGAGAUUGUGAGUAAUCCAAUAUAGCACGAUCGUACCAAAUACAUCGAGAUCGACCGUCACUUUAUCAAGGAGAAGAUUGAUUAGGACCAAAUUUGCAUUACCUUCAUUCGGUCAUCUGAUCAGAUGGCAGAUAUUUUGACCAAAGUGCUUAGCUUAUUCUCUUUUCUGGAUUGGUUGAUAAGAUAGGAUUUCGUGAUAUCUUCGUCCCAUCUUGAAGAGAUGUGUUAGAAGAUUAGACCUAAUUAGAAAUAUAUCUAAAUAAAUAUCUUAGGAUAUUAUUUCUUGACAUAUUAUUAUUAUUAUUUUUUCUAUAUUUAGAUCUACAUAACUAUAUUUAUAGGCUCUUUGUAUAUUCUUUUGAGUAUUGAAAAAAAUAAAUCCUUCUCUCAACGUUCAUCACGUUUGAAAGCACCGCAGGGAGAGGAUUGGUACGGGGAAGUUGUGUUAGGGAGUACAUUUUGCUCCCUUUCCAUGUUUGUUUCCAUCUCAUCUCUUUGAUGUAAAAAGGUUUUGCCUUUUAUAAGAUGUAUCUCUCCUAUUUGACACUGGUGGACAGAGAGAGCCAACAAUACAAAACCUACUCUUGAUUACAAGGGAGUAUUUAGAAAUUAGAAGAUUGCUCGCCAGCUAUAGAAUGCUGGUGAGGUCUCUUGGCCCAACAUGCUGUCUGUCGGUGUUUCUUACCGGAGGAGAGAAGGAAGGGAAAAAUAAAGUUAUUCUGAGUUCAAAAAAAAAAAUCUCUUACGUCAGUAAAUAGCAAAGAUUUAUGGGAAACGUCAUUAGAUCAGACCCAAAAAUUUAUACGGUAUAUUUGACCUAGAUAGUUUUGAGCCCAAGAUCCUAUUACAACCUGCCAGGUGCCCAAGAUAUAGAAAAUUCCUAUCUGGUCUAUAGGGGAUUUGAUGCCAUGUUACAGAUAACUGCGUACCUGUUUAGAAAAGUGAGAAAUAUGAGGGGAAAAAUGUAUCUUUUACUCACAUAAGAAUUCCUAAUCAUUAGGGCAAUAUCUAGGUUUCGAUGGUAUGUACAGAUCCAGGCUUGCAUGCAAAUUUAUGGGAAGAAAAGGAUAGUCUUCCAAGUAUCUAUUUCAAUCAUGUGUCGCAAUGCUCAAGGUUUCAGCUCGAACCGUGGGUGGCCGUUGUAUCGUGCAAGCAAGUUGCAACGGAUGUUUACCUUCUUUCGCAACCUCAACCGUUGGAUCGCCCAAAGCCUCCUCGAGAUCUGUGCAUCCGGUGCAGAAAGACCUCGGAGUUCUUUGAGAGCUGUGCGAGAUCCGAUCCAACGGUUGAAGUCGCGACAGAAGAUAGAUCAUUGUUUCGCGCGAAAGAUACAACCCGAAACCGGUUCCAACUCAGUGCCAAAAAGGUAAGAGAUCAUCAUCAAAUUAUAAAACCGAGUCAAUUCCCAGUACCCCAGUCCAGGUUCCUGGAGGGGUUUUCCGUAAUUUCACCCUUCUUUCCUUUCCCAUUCCACGCCCAUUGUUCUGACGCGAAACGAAAUAUUUCGUGCCCUGCAGAAUCUCGAGGCAAAUCCAACGACUCUCAAACCAUCUAGGCCCACUUGCCUGAAACCGAGCCAAAGUUAUUUAUUCUAGUGACAUUAUAAAGCAAGAGGAAAGCGGAUGAACCCUGCUCCGAGGAGAGCUACCGCGAUCGAAUCCUCUGUAGAUUCUUUGCCGAAGGAAAAGAAGAAAGAGCAAAAUCGGAACCCUAAGUUCUCCUCGAUUGCUCAAGGUAAGCUUUUCUGUUUUAAAAAAGGAAAGUACUUUUGGGAAUGUUCCCCAAAUCGCUGUGAAGUUCUUUGUUUGAUGUAGCUUGUGAUCGAUUGUUUGAAGCUGUUUUUGCCGUUAAAUCUGUAAUUUUUUUGAAAAGUCCUUGGAAAAAUCCCCAUUUUUGGUGUCCAUUUCGUGGAGAUUUUGGUCUUGGUAAGCUUUUGCGACUUCUUCCUAAUUUUUUUUUUUCCUUUUUAGGUUUUUUAGAGAUUUGUAGGGUUUUGUAUGCGUUACUUUCGCUUCUGUUUGUUUCUCGGGCUUUCUCUCUAUCUUUACAUGAGCACUCAUAUCCAUCAUGCUUUGAUCUUUAGUUCGAUGCGUUAAUCGGUCGAAGACGACCUUUGAACCCUUAUCUGGGUCGCUGUUUUCGAAGACUACCUUUGAACUCUAUCUCGGUCACCUGCUUCGAAGAAUACCUUUAAACUCUUAUUUCGGUCGCAUCUUUCUUGUUUUUCUAUAAAAGCUAUUUCUUGACAUUUUUUUUUAUCAUGAGUUCGCUUUUAUCUGUCCUUGUUUUGCAGCGGGAACUAAUUAUUUCGUUUCUAGGUUGGAAUCCUAUUCUCGGUAUUCAAUUCGUUUAUCAGCAAGAUCUUCACCUUUUAAUUUCUUCCUGUCUUUAUGACUCUUCAAUUUGGGCGCUUUUGUCUCGCAUGUCGGC
This 32049-nucleotide long non-coding RNA is filed under the name Elaeis guineensis (African oil palm). RNAcentral describes it as "long non-coding RNA (EGUI_LNC013116)". Lineage: Eukaryota; Viridiplantae; Streptophyta; Magnoliopsida; Arecales; Arecaceae. The record is from RNAcentral.